AUCAGCUCUUUCUUCUUCUGGUUCUGAAUUGGGUUCUGUGACCCUGUCACUCUAAUGCCCAAUCCCCCUUCCAAGGGGUGGCCUGUGCCUAGCAGGAUGCAUAGAGCAUUAGCACUGGCGUUGGAUGGCAGUGAGAAAAUCUACAGCACACAAACAAAAGCUGAAUGAGGUGAUGAGGAUCCCACCAAGGGAGCAGAAUUCUGUCCAAUUUGGAGUCAAAAUGCAUGUAAUGGCACCUGGGUGGCUCAGUUCGCUCAGGUCAUGAUCUCAGGGUCCUGGGAUGGAGUCCCAGAUCCGGCUCCCUGCUCAUCAGGGAGCCUGCUUCUCCUCCCCCUGCCCCUCCCCUGGCUUGUGCUCUCUCACACACACUCUUUCAAAUAAAUAAAUAAAAUCUUAAAAAAAACUAAAACUAAAACAAAAACACACGUAAAAGCCAGAAAGCCAGAAGUCAGGCAUCACGAGCUGUGACUAGAUAGACAAGGAGAGGGCAGCCAAAGCAGAGACCAGUGAGCUUUGUAGCACCUCUUUUGAGGGGAAUGGGGGCUGGGGCUCAGCCCAGGUGGAUGGCUCAGAGUCUGAGGACACCCACACAGGCCUCCCCAGCUUCCCUCGGCUCACUGGUAUCCAGACAAAAAGGGAACAAAGCAGUGGGCAAACAGAGGUUCCUGUUUCCCGCUUCAUUAAAACUGUGUGAGUGCCUUUUCACUCCCAGAAUCCCUGUCACAUUCUCGGCUCAGGCUGUGUCCAGGGCCCAGCCCCUGGCCCUCGGCCAACUUGCAAGAUUCCGUUUCAGUUUGGAGGUUGAAAUCUGCCAUGUGGUGACAUUUGAGUCCAAUGGCUUAGGAGCACCGUUGUCCAGAAUGCACCACGUCUGCAUUUUGUACAAGUGCCCCCUCUUCGCAAGGUGCAGCCUCUGUGUUCAUCGAGAGAGGCUAAACACACGAGAAUCUUCAAGCCAGAAAUUGCCUGACUUCUCCCCGGAGAGCAUCUGCCUGGGGAGGGCAGGAUAG
RNAcentral lists this long non-coding RNA (1010 nucleotides) under Vulpes vulpes (red fox). RNAcentral's name for it is "lncRNA (ENSVVUG00000001186.1)". The record is from RNAcentral. Lineage: Eukaryota; Metazoa; Chordata; Mammalia; Carnivora; Canidae.